GACGAACGCUGGCGGCGUGCCUAAUACAUGCGAGUUGAGCGCUGAAGGUUGGUACUUGUACCAACUGGAUGAGCAGCGAACGGGUGAGUAACGCGUGGGGAAUCUGCCUUUGAGCGGGGGACAACAUUUGGAAACGAAUGCUAAUACCGCAUAAAAACUUUAAACACAAGUUUUAAGUUUGAAAGAUGCAAUUGCAUCACUCAAAGAUGAUCCCGCGUUGUAUUAGCUAGUUGGUGAGGUAAAGGCUCACCAAGGCGAUGAUACAUAGCCGACCUGAGAGGGUGAUCGGCCACAUUGGGACUGAGACACGGCCCAAACUCCUACGGGAGGCAGCAGUAGGGAAUCUUCGGCAAUGGACGAAAGUCUGACCGAGCAACGCCGCGUGAGUGAAGAAGGUUUUCGGAUCGUAAAACUCUGUUGGCAGAGAAGAACGUUGGUGAGAGUGGAAAGCUCAUCAAGUGACGGUAACUACCCAGAAAGGGACGGCUAACUACGUG
RNAcentral lists this ribosomal RNA (497 nucleotides) under uncultured bacterium. RNAcentral describes it as "partial 16S ribosomal RNA". It matches the Rfam family "Bacterial small subunit ribosomal RNA", at positions 28 to 507 of the family's 1533-position model. The record is from RNAcentral.